AGAAUCAACGCUGGCGGCGUGCCUAACACAUGCAAGUCGAACGCGAAAGUCCCGCAAGGGAUUAGUAGAGUGGCAAACGGGUGAGUAACACGUGGGUGACCUGCCUUCGAGUGGGGGAUAACGUCCCGAAAGGGACGCUAAUACCGCAUGACAUCCUGUCUUUGGAAAGACGGAGAUCAAAGCUGGGGAUCGCAAGACCUGGCGCUUGAAGAGGGGCCCGCGCCUGAUUAGCUAGUUGGUAGGUAACGGCCUACCAAGGCGACGAUCAGUA
This 271-nucleotide ribosomal RNA is filed under the name uncultured bacterium. RNAcentral describes it as "partial small subunit ribosomal RNA". It matches the Rfam family "Bacterial small subunit ribosomal RNA", at positions 26 to 285 of the family's 1533-position model. The record is from RNAcentral.